UAAGUACCUGGGCCACAUUGUAACGGAU
This 28-nucleotide small RNA is filed under the name Bombyx mori (domestic silkworm). Its description in RNAcentral is "ovarian small RNA-19371". Lineage: Eukaryota; Metazoa; Arthropoda; Insecta; Lepidoptera; Bombycidae. The record is from RNAcentral.